This is a non-coding RNA of Desmophyllum pertusum, 72 nucleotides long. Lineage: Eukaryota; Metazoa; Cnidaria; Anthozoa; Scleractinia; Caryophylliidae. The record is from the annotation of a GenBank genome assembly.
UCUCCUGUAGCUCAGUGAUCGAGUGUCCGCCCAAAGUGCGGGUGGUCAUAGGUUCGAGUCCUGUUGGGGGAA